GAAAAGCCCAAAGCCAAUCCC
RNAcentral lists this small nuclear RNA (21 nucleotides) under Arabidopsis thaliana (thale cress). Its description in RNAcentral is "snRNA_18822". Lineage: Eukaryota; Viridiplantae; Streptophyta; Magnoliopsida; Brassicales; Brassicaceae. The record is from RNAcentral.